This 253-nucleotide ribosomal RNA is filed under the name uncultured bacterium. Its description in RNAcentral is "partial 16S ribosomal RNA". It matches the Rfam family "Bacterial small subunit ribosomal RNA", at positions 524 to 776 of the family's 1533-position model. The record is from RNAcentral.
UACGUAGGGUGCGAGCGUUGUCCGGAAUUAUUGGGCGUAAAGAGCUCGUAGGCGGUCUGUCACGUCGGAUGUGAAAGUCCGGGGCUCAACUCCGGAUCUGCGGUGGGUACGGGCAGACUAGAGUGAUGUAGGGGAGACUGGAAUUCCUGGUGUAGCGGUGAAAUGCGCAGAUAUCAGGAGGAACACCGAUGGCGAAGGCAGGUCUCUGGGCAUUAACUGACGCUGAGGAGCGAAAGCAUGGGGAGCGAACAGG